AAUAUUGGUCAAUGGAUGCAAGUCUGAACCAGCCAUGCCGCGUGCAGGAAGAAGGCCUUCUGGGUUGUAAACUGCUUUUGCCGGGGGAUAAAGUUCCCAUGCGUGGGACAUUGAAGGUACCCGGUGAAUAAGCCACGGCUAACUUCGUGCCAGCAGCCGCGGUAAUACGAAGGGGGCUAGCGUUGUUCGGAAUUACUGGGCGUAAAGGGCGCGUAGGCGGCGCAUUAAGUCAGGUGUGAAAGCCCUGGGCUCAACCCAGGAAUUGCACUUGAUACUGAUGUGCUUGAAUCCGGAAGAGGAUGACGGAAUUCCCAGUGUAGAGGUGAAAUUCAUUGAUAUUGGGAAGAACACCAGUGGCGAAGGCGGUCAUCUGGUCCGGUAUUGACGCUGAGGCGCGAAAGCGUGGGGAGCAAAC
This 415-nucleotide ribosomal RNA is filed under the name uncultured bacterium. Its description in RNAcentral is "bacterial SSU rRNA". It matches the Rfam family "Bacterial small subunit ribosomal RNA", at positions 360 to 773 of the family's 1533-position model. The record is from RNAcentral.